RNAcentral lists this ribosomal RNA (301 nucleotides) under uncultured bacterium. RNAcentral describes it as "partial 16S ribosomal RNA". It matches the Rfam family "Bacterial small subunit ribosomal RNA", at positions 509 to 809 of the family's 1533-position model. The record is from RNAcentral.
CAGUAGCCGCGGGAAUACGGAGGGGGCUAGCGUUGUUCGGAAUUACUGGGCGUAAAGCGCACGUAGGCGGCUUUGAAAGUUAGAGGUGAAAGCCUGGGGCUCAACUCCAGAAUUGCCUUUAAGACUGCAUCGCUUGAACGUCGGAGAGGUGAGUGGAAUUCCGAGUGUAGAGGUGAAAUUCGUAGAUAUUCGGAAGAACACCAGUGGCGAAGGCGGCUUACUGGCUCAUUCUAGACGCUGAGGUGCGAAAGCGUGGGGAGCAAACAGGAUUAGAUACCCCCGUAGUCCCUGUCUCUUAUAA